Acanthochromis polyacanthus (spiny chromis) is the source of this 13582-nucleotide long non-coding RNA. RefSeq lists it as uncharacterized. The transcript has 2 exons. Lineage: Eukaryota; Metazoa; Chordata; Actinopteri; Pomacentridae. The record is from RefSeq and is a predicted model, not a curated record.
GCAGCCUGAGAGGCAGCAACCCUGACGAACCAAAGGUGAAACUGAGGCGACGAUCGCACUGAGAGAAUAAAGCAGCAACACCAGCGCACACUUUCCCUCCCAAAGUUUUGCUCUGAGAUCAAGCAGACAGCAGAUAGCAUGAUGGGGAAUCUUUACCAAGGAAAUACUUUCAAUUCUGAAUAUCAUUUGAGCCCUGCGGUCCUGCUAAUUCCCCCUUAGGUUUGUCUCUCAAAGUAUCGGCUGCUGAUUUAAGCUCCAGUAAUCUCAUUUACUAGUAGUGAUAAGCGUUGCUGGUCAGCUCUUUGGGCCAAAGCAGCCAAAUAAAAUUCAUGUUUACAGAACAUUUUCCACCUUUGGGAGGCAGCGAGACAGACACCCAUUAACCUUCUGAACCCUAAGUAGUUUCUCAGUGUUUUUUACUCCCAUUUUUACUCACUGUGGACUCAUUUUUUACUGUAAUGUGAAGUUCUAAACCUCUAUUGAAACACAACAGCCAUGGAUAGACGUAAAGAGAACUCAGAAAUAUCAUUUGUGCAGGAGAACAAAGUUAUUCGCCAUAAGUCAUAGAAAAGAAAAAACAAAAGGAUAAGAUUUUAUUUACAAAAAGUGGAAAAACCUGAAAUCAACAUGUACAACAUUUUUCCAAGUGCCCAGCAGUGGUAAAAAUGUGUCUCUACAUGCUAUAAAUAUUUUACUGCUGACAUUUUUCAUUAGUUUCAACAUUUAUCUACUCUUUGCUCUGUGUAAACACUGACUGCAGUUCCUGAAUUUUUGACUGUUUUAAAUGUCUUGGUGGUUACACCAAAGAGCACAGAGUUGUUGUUUUUUACAGAAUAUGCUUUAAACAAACCAUUUAUUUUAGACAAAUUGUUAAUGAGACAUGUAGAAUUGAGUGGUUGUGAUAAAAUGUCACCAUUAUAAGCAAAAAUUUGCUGACGGAACAUCACAUAUGAUUAGUUCAAGGGCCGUCGGAAAGGUGAAAAUCCAGCAAUUCUUUCUCUUUGUAAAGUUUCUGAGUAAUGGCACUAUUUUGUGGAUUUAAAAAAAGAUUCCACACCUUUCAAACCCACUGGUGAAUUUUGGGGUUCAGAGAGUUAAUUAAUUAGCCACAGUGUUUCCCAAACUUGGUAUCAAGGUCCCAUAAUGGGUCACAGGAUGGUUUAACUCGUCUAUUAUUGAGAAAGCAACAGCACAGACAUUGGAGUGCGUGACACCAAAGAACCGGUUCUCAGUUAAAGCCAGAAAUAUGAUCAUAUCUGACAAAAUUAAAGGGCAAAUGUUAGGAAACAGCGAAGAGACUUAGCAGAUACUGAAAGUGAAAGUCGCUCUUUAGGAUCCUAAAUCAGAAUAUCUGUAGAAAACUUCUAAAAUACACAUGAAACAUAUUGAAAGUUGUUUGGAAUUCCUUCCCAGCCACUUUAGCCUGAUGUUAUAUUAUUAUUAAGAUUAUUGUGGCUUGUGAAGUUUUCAAACCCCUCAGAACUAGAUAGGGGAAAAGUGCGCUUGGUGUGUUGCUGCUUCCAGUCCGAAUGUCGCCUCAGUCUGCCUGGCAGGUAGAACAUCUGGGCAAAAAACAACAGCUGCAUAAACACAAUCAGUCUAAAUGAAAAAUUGUCAAAUUAAUGAAGAAAUUUCAGGUGUUUCCUGAUUAAAAAUGACAAAACAACUGAAAGAAAAGCCUUGUUUUACUGGCCAGCGUGUUUCAUACGCUGCAGAUAAAUUUUCUUCGUGUGUUUGGAGUUUUGAUCAGUGCAGCAUUUAGUGAGAGCACCUGAACGCAGCACACGUUUGAGCUCCAUUCUGCAGCUGUGGUUUCUGCUCAGAUUGUGAAGGUUGUAGAAAUCCCUGCGCUCUGCAGCUCUCCAACAGCACCGCAGGAAGCUGCAGCGCUGCAGCGAGAACACGAUGCAUUUCUACGACUUCCAUGUUCGUCAAACUGCCUGCCGGGCAGCACGUUAGGGUUGCUGUCUCUCACGGGAGAAGAAUUAUUAUUUAUUUUUUUCAACUUUUCGUUCCCUUUUCUGACAAUGCGAACUUUUGUUAAGAGACUUCAAGAACUUGUUCAGACAGCUUGUGAAGCUCAUGGAGGAGAUGCUGUGUUAUUUCUGUGGAGGAGGAGGAGGAGGAGGAGGAGACCCAGGAGAGCUGAAGGCUGUGCUGAAUCGAGACGAGUCGGUUCCCAGCGACUCUCCGUUGUCCUGCCAGCCCAGCCGUUGCUUAGUAACUGGUGUUUUCAGUGCCAGCUGAUGUCUGAAUCGCCAGGCGUCUCACCACACAGCCGAUCGGCGCUCAGCUCUGCCUGCAGCCAGCAGAUCAGAAGACACUAAACAAUUAACCACCACAAAGGCCACAUUUGUGCUUCAGCUGUUUGUUGGGCUGAAAACCGACUGCAGCUGAGAGUCACACUGGUUUACUCAUCCACAGCAGCAGCGAAGCCCCUCAGGCGACCUGCUCUGACUCCGCUGUGAUGGGCUUCAUCGUGGUCGGAGGUCUGUCGUCAAACCUCUGAGCCGAGCGGCGGUUUGAAGUCAGCGGAGAUGAAAGACCGCUCCCCUCUGGGCUUCUUCCCGUUGGGAGGUUUGAACGCCUCACUUCCUGCAUGGAUGGAGACGCCGCAAACAGCCAUUGACAACAAUCCAAUCGUGACCGCUCUGGAGUCUCACGGCGGCUCUGCUGGGGAUCCCAAGCCUCAGACUGAGCCAAUGACAGUCCUCCCUUCUCCAAACCUGUUCAAUCUGUAAAAGUUCCUCUCUGGAGGGGUCCUUCCUGCCGGGAGGGCGACCGAGCCUCCGCCUGAAGUGAAAAACACCGACAGGAAGUGAGGAUUUCUGUGUUUUCCUGAAGCCUGCUCGUCCUGCUUGUUGAUCCUCUGUUGAUUGAUCGCAGCAGGAUCAGGUGGAAGGUGGAUCUGAAACCUCCACCGCUGAAACUGCGGAUGGAUUUUUUUUUUUUUUGUUAAAAGUUUUUCCUUUCCUCAGUUUUUUUGGGAACUUUUAUGAGAUGUGGGGCUCCGUCUGAUCCCAGGCGAGGCCUUCCCAGACAUCACAGGCGGAAUAUGAAAAAGCAGUUUGGAUUUUUUGCCCAGCAGGACACCGUCGGCACACAACUGAGGAUCACUGAAGAGUUUCCUUUCCAAGAUGUUGCAUCCAUUUAGGAGAAAAAUCAGCUCGGCUUCACACUCGUCCUCCAAAUGCCUCUAAUUGCAGACUUUCUUUGAGGCUUUUCGUCAUUUUUAAACAGUGUUUUUGUCGGUGUUAUGUCGCCCGCUGUGCUUCAGAGACGCUCGUGAUUUCUGUAUAGACUUUGUAAAACAUGGCUUUAGAUUUGUUUAGUUUUCCCUCUAAAGCAUAUUUCAAAUGCUGCCACAUGCCACACUCACCUCACAUUUACGGCUGCUGUCAUCUCUGAGCAGCUACAGUCUGAGUGGAGCCUCUUUACCCAAACCCCAACCUAAAAUCAGCUUCAGUCAAAUUCCUGCCCUAAAUGUUGGAAUAAAGUUUUGAUCCAAAAGCAGCAGUUCGACGUCCUGCAGCUCUGAUUUCUUCUGGUUUCAAUCAAAAACAAAAUUAAAAAUUGGUAAGAAUUGCUAAAAAAGUGGUUGACAGUAAACUGUCUGGCUCCCCUCAGACGUCACUAAAUUGUGCUUUGUUUUAAUGGAAAAAAACAGGGCUUAUUCACAUUUUUGUUUUGUUUUUAUCUGAAGAAAUUAUUCUGAAGAAAUAUUUCAUUUUGUCAAAAAACUCCAUGGACAUUUAGCCAAAUGAUUUCCACUGAUCGCUUGUGGAAUUGAAAUUUUAAAAAAUAGGUUUAAAAAAAUCAGAUUUAGGCUCAAAAUAUGUAAAUGUACAAUGUGUCCCAAAAGCAGCUGCUUAUUGUUCAUCUGUUUUUUGAAUUAGCCUAAAAUAUUUUAUUGAAAAUUAACACAAAAAAGCAAAAUUUUAGUUCUGCCAUGAACCUCAAUCAAACAAGCACCUGCUUAUGUGCUGAAUUUUAAUAAAAGGACUAAAAGGAUUAAUUAAAAGGAAACAUCCAAAUAUUAAUUUUUAAAAAACUCUAAAUCAAACUUUAUCCAAAAAAACAUUGACAUUUGCCCAAAAGCAGCUGAUUACAGCUCAGAAUAGGUUCAGCUUUUUUUUGUCAAUAUUUGGAUAAAAAAUGGAUUUACUCAAACUUUUCUCAAAUAACAGCCAAAUUUUACCACAAAGUUCUGAAAAAAAAAGUCUAAAUUUUGACAGAGGUUCAGCCAGUUUUAUAAUGUAGUAUUAUAGCAUCUUUUAUCAUUUUUGAACAAAAAACAAUCAAAGAUUUCCUUUUCACCACAUCUCUGUCCAAACUGUUGACAUUUUCAUCUAAAUUUGGACAAAAGUUCUGCUUUUUUUUUCUUCUUUUGUCCAAAUCGAAAUGAUAAAAUCUUCCCAAUGCAGCUGCUUUGAUUUACUUUAAAAUCUGCAGUUGGUGUUUUCUGUCUUUUGUCUCAAGUUUACAUCGCUGAAAAAGCCUCAGCUUGUUUUCCCAUUUCAGCUUCAUCCAAACUGUUGUUUUUGUUUUAAUUUGUCAGAAUUUGUUUUUUUUUACUCUGAGUCUAGAUGAAGAUGUGUUUGUUCCAUAUGAGGAUAAAAGCUCCUUUCAGAUUGGCUGGAUGGAGCUGAUGAGACGCCGUCAGCUUUAUUUUUCCAGAAGCUGGAUUUUGUGCUCUUGAACGCAGCUCUUCAGUCCUCCUCACACAUCAGCGUGUCUGAGGUGAAGUGAAAAUCCUUCAAUCUUUUACUGAGAAUGUGAAGUCCAUGCUGAUACGCUUCUGUACUUCUAUACUUGUGAGGUUCAUUCUGGGCAUAUUUUAUUUCCUAAAACUUAAAAAAAAAAUAUUAGUCUUAACCCAAAGACAUGACAGAUACACAGUACACUACAGAAGUGAGUACAUCUCUGUGUGAUAUGACUUAAAUGUAAAACAAUUCAACAUUUUAUGACCUCUCACUAACUGCAUUUCAAGUUGAACAGGAGGUGUUUGCUCUGAUGUCAAAUUAAAAACCGUUGAGCUUUACUGUGUUAAAAAUACAUGACGGAUAGUUUAGACUCAAUGCACCAAAACUCUGCCGUUCUCUUAAAAAUACCACAAAGUUGUUCUGUUGGAUUCAAGUCAGGCAACAUACUUCUGUCAUUUUGGCAAUGUGGUUUGGAUCGUUGUCGUGCUGAAAUAUUCUUCUUCUGCCAAGAUUCUGCAGGCUGGGAGUCGUCAGCCAGCAUUAUAGUUUAUCCACUGAUAUUCAUGGCUACAUCUAUAAAUAUCAUCUCCUCAAACAUCUCUUGCACUCAUGCAGCCUCAUAUCAUCACACUCCGUGCUUCACUGUCAGGACUAUGCAGUCACUGUGGCAGUCCUGGUUGAGUUCACACCAAACAUGCUGGACUCCAUCUGUGCCGAACAAGUCUAUCUUCAUCUGACAAAAGAAUGUUCUCUUAGCAUUCAUCAGGCUUCAUUCCACGUUCUUUAUUGAGGUAUUUUUGUAGUUUUGUGUUGAAGAGCAUCAAAAGUUUUUUUGUUGGAAGCCAUUUAUAGAGACUGAUAUUACAAUUUUUUUAGUUUUUGGGAUCAAAAAGGAAAACUUAAAACUUAAUAGAUUUUUAAAUUCAGUCAAAUUUAUAAAAUAGAUAGAUAGAUAGAUAGAUAGAUAGAUAGAUAGAUAGAUAGAUUCACUUAGAAAUGUCCUUAUUUUUGAAAGAAAAGCAGUUUUUUUCAAUGAAGAUGACAUUAAAUGAAUCAGAAAUACAGUCUAGACAUUGUUAAUGUGCUAAAUGACUAUUCUAGCUGGAGACGGCUGAUUUUUAAUGGAAUAUCUACAUAGGGGCACAGAGGAACAUUUCUAGGAACCAUCACUCCUGUGUUCUAAUGUUGUACUGUGUUAGCUAAUCAUGUUGCUAGACUAACUGAUGAUGAGAACACCUUUGUGCAGUUAUGUUAGCACAUGAAUAAAAGUGUGAGUUUUCAUGGAAAACAUGAAAUUAUCCGGGUGACCCCAAACUUUUGAAACAGUAGUGUAUAGAUAUAUAACUGCAAUUCUUGCAAACAACUUGCCCAAUGAGCUGCUGCUUGCAUGUUAUUUUAUUGUUUUAAAGUUAAAUCAAAAAGAACAUGUCCAAAUUUGUACUUCAAAAAUUCUAAGUUUUACCAGAAAGCAGCUGUCUGUCUGUUUUCUAUGGCGACAUUGUGAAAGCAGUGCACAGUCUCAUUUAUUUCAGAUCACUGCAACCCUGAUUAGUGGUACUACGCCUCCUUCUAAACCUCCUGAUUACUGCUGCAGCUGUGUUUCCACUACUUUGUAGUUGGUCGCCGACUUUCCUGACUCCCUUCUCAAAGUGAGAUUUUUUAGUUCCUCUGGCAACUCUUUUCCGUGUGGAGCCAUGAUGUAGUCAUACACAUGGACAUAAUACACAGAUCACGAACUGAGACAGUGCUGAUGUUUACGGCUCAUUUUUGAACCAGGUUCAUGCAGUUAGACUGAUUAGAAAUCUCAGGUUAGUUCAGAGAUUACAGGUGUUCUAACUUGUGUUUUCAGAGAUCACAGUUAUGUUCACUUUUGUUGUACUGAACUUCACCUUUUGGGCCUGUAUUUUUUAUAUUACCCUUCUGAAGUAUUUGUUUUUUAAAAUUCAUAAGAGGAAAUAAUCUCCUGUUCAACUAUUGAGAGGUGAUAAACUUAUGAAUCCUUUGACUAUGUAGUGAUAUUGCACAGGAAUGUACUGAUUUAUGUCAUACAGAAAAAAGUCCUACUGUACAAAUAGAUUUAGACUUUCUAGCUUUCCUUUUUUGAAACAGAAAAUGUUCCCACUCUUUUUUAAGUCUUAAUUUAAGCCAAACAUGACUGACUUAUAAAUUCUGUUUCUGUUCUGCUUUAACAUAACGUCCAAACAUUUCCAUCCUUUACAGAAACGCCCUGACAGCAGCAAACGUCGUCGCUGCAGAUGUGCGACGCUCUGAUUCGUCCUCACAAAGAUAAAAGUGCAAACAUACACUUGAUGUUAGUCUGCCCCACAGUGAGGACACACGCAGUAUGAUAUGCAGUCGAUUCCGCCUCACAUGCACGUCUUUGAAGCACACACACGCUUAUGAACACCACAUGCACUGAUGCAGUGGAUCAGCUGCCUGUUCGUCCGCACACAAACACUCUCACAGCGACUCACUGCCGAACUAAACCCUCCUUUUCCCCUCCUUCAUCCCCGUUUGUCUCUCAGACUCUCCCCCUUUACCCACUUCAUCUCGCUCUCCUCCCUCUCGUUCAGUUUUUAAUCUCGGCUCGACAGGUGAAAUACAUUUGAGUUGCAAAGGCUUAUAAAAAAGUAAAAUAGUGAUAAAGGCAGAAAAUAACUCUCUCUGUGAGUAAGACGUCUCACUCUGUCUUAUCUCCUCACCACCCUCUCGUCUCCCCCUGAAAUAGCUAAAACUCUCAUUACUCUGCUGUCAGCUGCUGCAGAAGGGACAAUCUGUGUGCAGGCUUUUAUUUAAGUCGCAGGAACUUUAGCAGCACUUUGGAAAGGUGUUUAUAUUUGGUGUCGCACUGUGAGGGCAUACAGGUGAAUAUACCUGCCUCUGUGGUCCGUCUUUUGGGUUAAAUGUUUGUUUUCAGGUUGUUUAUCUGUUCUUAAAGCCAUACAGCCGUGACGGUCUGAAGGAUUCUUUUUGUUGGAGGCUUAAAUGAAAGUGUGGAUGAUAAAUGGAUCAACUGACGAAGCUUCGCUUCACUGAGAUUUAAAUGGGUGGAGAUCAGUCAGUCUGAGCUUUAACAGACAUAAAGUAACCAAAUAUGACGUAAAAGAGCCAAAAAUAGACAGAAAAUGACUUCAAAGAGACGCAAAUGGCCACAAACAAAAUGACUGGAUACAAAAUAACCACAAGAGGCACAAUAUAGCAACAAAGACGCACUAAAUAACUAAAAAAAUGCACAAAAUAACCACAAAGACUCAAACUAAACAAGAAGAGACACAAAAUACCCACAAAGAGACGCAUACAGCCACAAAAUGACUACAAAAUGACCCAAAAUAGCCACUAAAACACAGAAUUGCCACAAAAUUCAAAAUGAGCACAGAAAGACACAGAAUAACCACAGAGACACAAAAAGGUCAAAGGGACAUUAGUGGCCUCAAAAUGACUGCAAAAUGACACAAAACAGCCACAAAGAUGCAAAAUGAGCACAGAAAGAUACAAAAUAACCACAGACACAAAAUGGCAACAAAGACGCACAAAGUAGCCAUAAAGAGACACUAAUAGCCACAAAAUGACUGCAAAAUAUUCAAUUCAGUUUUAUUUAUAUAGCGUCAAUUGCAGUCAAAUUCUCUCAAGACGCUUUACAGAUCCCAUAUGCCUGACUCCCAGAGCAAGCCCAAAGGAGACAGUGGCAAGAAAAACACCCUUUUAACAGGGAAAAAAAACCUUGAGCAGAACCCGGCUCUUUGUGUCCACAGAGACACACAAAAUGGCCAGGAAAGACGUUCAAUGACCACAGAAAGAGACAAUAUAACUACAAAGAGUGACAAAAUGACCACAAAGACACACAAACUAGCCACAAAGAGACACUAAUAGCCGCAACAUGACUACAAAAAGACACAAACUAGCCACAGAGAGACACAAUCAGUCACAAAGAUGCAAAAUGAAAACCAUAGAAACACAAAACGACCACAAAGAAACACACAGAGACCACGGGGACGGUCUAAAGGACUUAAUGUGUUGACUGUUGGACAGAUGAAGUUGUGGGCUGAUGAACGUUUGUCUCCCUGAAUGUUCAGUUGGGGCUGCAGCUCUUCAUCAACAGGUGGAGAUGAGUCAGCGUAGCUCUAACGGCUCCAUUAGCCCCUCAGCUAAAUGACUGAGCUGCUUGUUAAUGUAGCACGAUGGCAAUGACGCCUUUAAUUAUUAUCCGCUUAAACAGCAAACAGGGACGCAUGAAAACAAGGCGCAGACAGACAAGUCAGAGCCAAAUGAGAAAACUCUUAACAGAAUCCAGCUUCCCGCUUUGUCUGCUUUUCUUUGGAAAUGUGACGGCGAAUUUAGCCGAACCCAUCAAGAUAAGAAUGAGAGAGCAGCGAGAGGAAAGAGAAGGCGAGACAUCAAUUAAGCCUCCAUGGCUAAACACAGCAGGCAGAGCCACAGGCCAACUGCAUCCAGCAGCAACAUCAAACGAGCUCGCAGAGACAUUUUCAUUUAUCCAACCUGAGAGGAAGAAACACACAGUUUGGAGACAAAACAGCAACACAAAUGCUGUCAAAUCUGACAGACAGCAGAGAGACAAACGUGGCACACGAUGCCUUAAUCGAAUGUGAGAACACACAGUCGUGUGAUGAGAUGGAGGCUUUUAUUUUUUAGAUUUGUUGUUGGAAAAUUCAGUGAAUGACAAGAGAGAGACACAAAAUGACCAAAGAGAUCAAAUCAACCAGAAAAAGACACAAAAUUCACACAAAGGGACACAGUGCGACUUAAAAUAAUUAUAGAAAUGCAAAUCAUCACGAGACCACCAAUUGGAGAGGCCAAACAAACACAAAGACACAAAAAACAACCACUAAGAAACACAAAAUAGCCUCAAAGAGAUGCAAAGUGAUCUCAAAGAGAUAUAAAAUGACCACAAAAAGACAUAAACUAAUCAUGGAAGUGCAAAUGAUCUCAAGACAAGCACCAGGAGAAGCAAAACAACAACAAAGACAUAAAAUCAACCACAAAGAAAUGCAAAAUCUACCACAAAGAGCCACAAAAGGACCACAAAAGUACUAAUUACAGAAUUGCAAAAGGUUGUGACACAACCCCAGAGACACAAAAUCAACCAAAAAUGGACACAAAAUGACCCCAAAUAGACACAAAAUUGAUACAAAAGUGAUACAACAGAACCGCAAAGAGGCACAAAAUGUCCACAAAGGCAUACAGUAUGACCAUAGGGACACAAAGAGAUGCAAAUUGAUGGUAAAGAAACACAAAACAGCCACAAAAUGACCACAAACAUUCAAAAAAAUGACCACAAACAGACAGAAAAUGACCACAAAAUUAGCACAAAAAGGAAAAGUAAUUAUGGAAGUGCAAAUGAUAAUGGGACAAUCACCAGGAGAAGCAAAACAACCACAAAGACACAAAAUCAACCACAAAUAAACACAAAAUGACAACAAAGACACUAGAGAGGACCACACAGAGGCAUAGAACCAGCAUAAAGACACACAAAAGAACUACAGAAAUGCAAAUGACAGAGACAAAAAAAACAUCCAGAAAGGCACGAAAUGACCACAAAGAGACACAAAACAACCAACAGAGACUCCAAAUGAACGUAAAGAAACACAAAAUGACCACAAAGAUGCAACAAAGAAACUACAGUGACAGCAAAUGACAAGAAAUAGACUUGAAAUCACAACAAAGAGACUAAAAAUGACUAGAAAGAAACAAAACAGCGACACGAGACACAAUCAGCAAAACUUUUUUAAACAGAACCUUUCUUUAAAGUCAAAUAUAUACGGGAUGAUAAAUACAGAGAGUAAAACUCACCAAGAAACAAUUAAAACACCAAAAUAUAUCAGAGUGACUUCUGGAUUUUGAAUGAAUAAAACUGGUAAAGAAAAAACUGACUGAAUAAAACGGCAUUAAAAGUUCUGUAACUGGUGAGGAACAGAAUAAAAGACAGCAGUGUGGAAUUUUUCUUUCUUUCUUUCUUUUUUUUUUUUUUUUUUUUAAACAGAAAUAAAGUCGUCUCUGGGCCUCCGUACAUGGUUUGCAGAACGAACCAACAGCUGGUAGGGAAAUAUUCUUCUUCACAAUUCCGGUGUACAGCACAAGUUAGUGUGUCUGAGCCCUUUAAUUCUGCAGUCUGCCUUUCAGCCAUCUGCAUCCUGCUCUUCUUCCUCCUCUUCCUCACCCAGUGUUCCUCCCACACCUUCAUCCCUCCCUGCUUAUCCUCCUCUUCCUCCUUGCCUUACACUAAGCCUGUUUACAUAGGAUUAGAAACUCCAGCAGCUCCAACGCUGCUGUUUUUACCCUUUAAGGGAGUCGGACUGGAUUUGUGUUUUCUGCUGUGUGUUUUCUUUUCUGUUGUGUGUUUUCUUUUCUGUUGUGUGUGUGUGUGUGUGUGUGUGUGUGUGUGUGAGUGUGUUUGUGUGGCUGCAGCUGUUGAGCCGAACUCUGCCCUGCCGCUGCUGCUUCAACAAACUAUUUGUUUUUAAGUUCUGUACUUAAAGGGAAAAUCCACCCUGAAUCACAGUCAGAAUAACGGACACCAGGAGGCCCCGGGGCCAAAAGCACCACACAGACACACAACGUAACUACAGUGGGAUGCAACACAACAACAAAGAGACUAAAGUGACGGUAAAGACACAAAAUCACUACAGAGAGACUGUAAGGCAAAGUAACUACAAAGAGCCCAAACACAGAGACAAAAAAAAGGCCAUAAGCACAUACAAAAUGACAACAAAGACACCAAAUAACUACAAAGAGAUGCAGCAAACCACAAAGACACAGAAAAGCAUUACAAAAAGACUCAACACAGCUAUAUGGUGGUGCCACAGUAGCAAAAAGAGACAAACUGACUACAAAGUGACAAAAAAAUACCAAAAAGACACACAAAAUGACCACAAAGAGACACUAAAUGACCGCAAAGCGACUCAAAAUGAUUACAAAGAGACACAAAAUGACCACAAAGAGACACAAAAUGAUUACAAAGAGACACAAAAUGACCACAGAGACAUAAAAUGACCACAAAGCGACUCAAAAUGAUUACAAAGAGACACAAAAUGACCACAAAGUGACUCAAAAUGAUUACAAAGAGACAUAAAAUGACCACAAAGAGACAUAAAAUGACCACAAAGCGACUCAAAUGAUUACAAAGAGACUCAAAUGAUUACAAAGAGACACAAAAUGACUGCAAAGAGAAGCAACAAACCACAAAGACACAGAAAAGCAUUACAAAAAGACUCAAAACAGCUAUAUGCCGGUGCCACAGCAACAAAAAGAGACAAACUGGCUGCAAAGAGACAAAAAAAAUACCAAAAAGACACACAAAAUGACCACAAAGAGACACAAUUUUAUCACAGUCACUCUAGUAAUGUUGCAACAGAACUACAAAGAGACAAUCAACAACUAUAGUGUAAUACAAAAGAACUACAAAUAUAGAUGCAAACUGAUCACAGAAACAAACUGACAACAAACACAAAAUGACCAUAAAGCAACACAAAAUCACUAGAACAAGAGACAUCACAAAGAGACUUGUCUGGCCUUUUUAAGAUGGGUUUUCCCUUUAAGGACAGGGUUGUGUUGGAGUUGUGUGUCUCCAGAUGAAACUGUGAAGCCUCUUGUUUUAAAAACUUUUUUUUUAAUUAAGGAGCCGUUUUGAAAAAAUGUCACAGAAACAAAGUAACUGGUGUAAAUUUGCGCUUUUUCCAGGUUUCGUACGGAUCGCGCCUCUUUCUCUCUGCAGUGUUUCAUUUCUCUGGUGACGUUCUUUUUCAAGUCGCAACACAACAACAACAAAAAAAAAUGCAAAGCAGAGCAGACAAUGAAAGCAUCAUCUGUGGUGUUCUCAGUCUGUAUGUUAAUGUUGUACUUUAUCGAUGCAAAGUUUUUAGUUUUGAUAAAGACUCGGAGUCGGUGCUUUGUGGACACGUGAGCUGUUUCAUCUUUUCCCUGUAAAAACAAACCAGAGAAACAAAACUAGAAUGAAAAUAAAUUCAAAAUCAAGUGAAAUUUAAACACCGCUGUAGUCAAAACAGAAAGGAAAGGAGAAAUAUUGGCAACAAAAAAGCGUAAAAGGCUAUUUACAUGUUUUAAGAUGAAUUUUUGAAAGAUAAAAGUUGCAUUAUUACUUCAAUAAAAGUCGGUAAAAGGUAAAUAAUUUCAGUGUUAUUGAUAAAGCAGUUAUUUAACCCUUAGGUGCACAAGUGAUUGGACUCGACACUCUUCCUUAAGUGUCCCAUAUAAGAAUCGAUGUCUUUAAGCCAUUUUUGUCGUUUUUGUUAAGAAAAAUAUUUUACGUCAUUGUUUGUAUCAUAUUUUUUUCCACACAAAAUAAUUCAUGUUUGAAAUAUGUCUAUUUUUCACUUUAUCACAGAUUUUGAACAUUUUCAUGAUUGAAAAAGAGGAAUAUUACACGGAGUAGCAAUACAAAGAUGUCAGCCUCUACUUUGUUUUCAUUUUUCAACAUACUUAGACAUCUAAGGGUUAAAAUAACUAAAUAAAUAGCAAAAACUAAAAUGUCACAUCAUUGCAGCACAGUAAAAAACAAAUUUCAUUUUAAAACAAGAUUGGAAACAAAAUGCGAGUAAUUUCAAAAUGUGAAAUAGCUAAAAAUGAUUUCAGUGGUUUUGAAAGGUUUUAUCUCAAAGCUGUGCAACACGGUGACUCUUUUUUUUAUUUUUGUGUUCUUAUCUGCAGUUUUUUCUCAGUGCAGGUGAUGUGCAGGUUGUGUGUUUGUUGUGUGAUCAGAGCUCCUCUAUAUUUUCUAAGUGGUUGAAAGUUGUCGUGUCCAAACUGAAGCGUAGAUUUUCCUUCCUGCCUUCUGUCUGAGCUCCUUUAUGAGUCCGCGCUCUUGUUUUGUAAAGAAAUAAAACUCACUGUUGGACCAAAACGGA